GAAAUGCGAUAAGUAAUGUGAAUUGCAGAAUUAAGUGAAUCAUCGAAUCUUUGAACGCACCUUGCGCUCCUCGGUAUUCCUUGGAGCAUGCCUGUUUGAGUAUCAUGAAAUCUUCAAAGUAAAUCUUUUGUUAACUCAAUUGGUUUCUACUUUGGUAUUGGAGGUCUUUGCAGCUUCACACCUGCUCCUCUUUGUUCAUUAGCUGGAUCUCAGUGUUAUGCUUGGUUCCACUCGGCGUGAUAAGUUAUCUAUCGCUGAGGACACUGUAAAAGGUGGCCAAGGUAAAUGCAGAUGAACCGCUUCUAAUAGUCCAUUGACUUGGACAAUACUUUUAUGAUCUGAUCUCAAAUCAGGUAGGACUACCCGCUGAACUUAAGC
RNAcentral lists this unclassified non-coding RNA (378 nucleotides) under plant metagenome. RNAcentral describes it as "partial contains 5.8S ribosomal RNA, internal transcribed spacer 2, and large subunit ribosomal RNA". The stretch from base 1 to 105 matches the Rfam family "5.8S ribosomal RNA", at positions 50 to 154 of the family's 154-position model. The record is from RNAcentral.